This 707-nucleotide ribosomal RNA is filed under the name Selaginella helvetica. RNAcentral describes it as "partial 26S ribosomal RNA". It matches the Rfam family "Eukaryotic large subunit ribosomal RNA", at positions 407 to 1109 of the family's 3401-position model. The record is from RNAcentral. Lineage: Eukaryota; Viridiplantae; Streptophyta; Lycopodiopsida; Selaginellales; Selaginellaceae.
GUUGGGAGGGAAGCGAAUGGAUGCCUUUGUUGCCUGCUGGUUGUGUGCGGAACGGCGUAAAAGCUGGUCUGUCAACCAACUCAGCGGGCUCGCUAGUGUGGGGGUGGAUGCCGGGAUAAAGAUCCCGGGCUCUUUUGCCCGGGAUUGAUGCUGGUGUCCACUCUGUGGCUUGGGUGUGCGCCUUUAUGGCGGGCUUUACGUCCUGCACACCCGGGACGCUGGCGGCUUUAGGUUUUUCAUUCGACCCGUCUUGAAACACGGACCAAGGAGUCUAACAUGUAUGCGAGCCUGCGGGUGUUUACACCUUGCUAGGCGUAAGGAAACUGAUGCGUGGGAUCCCCUUUGUGGGGUGCACCAUCGACCGACCGUGAGCUUUUGCGAAAGGUUCGAGUGAAAGUAUACCUGUUGGGACCCGAAAGAUGGUGAACUAUGCCUGAGCAGGGCGAAGCCAGAGGAAACUCUGGUGGAGGCUCGUAGCGAUACUGACGUGCAAAUCGUUCGUCAGACUUGGGUAUAGGGGCGAAAGACUAAUCGAACCAUCUAGUAGCUGGUUCCCUCCGAAGUAUCCCUCAGGAUAGCUGGAGCUCAUAUUGAGAGUUUUAUCAGGUAAAGCGAAUGAUUAGAGGCAUUGGGGGUGAAACACCCUCGACCUAUUCUCAAACUUUAAAUAGGUAAGGUGUCGGGGUGCUCCGCUGAACCCCGACCUU